RNAcentral lists this ribosomal RNA (216 nucleotides) under Glomeromycotina sp. RNAcentral describes it as "partial small subunit ribosomal RNA". The stretch from base 40 to 216 matches the Rfam family "Eukaryotic small subunit ribosomal RNA", at positions 686 to 864 of the family's 1831-position model. The record is from RNAcentral. Lineage: Eukaryota; Fungi; Glomeromycota.
GGGUCAGUAGGUUGGUCGUGCCACCGGUACGUACUGGUCUCACUGAUUCCUCCUUCCUGAAGAACCGUAAUGCCAUUAAUUUGGUGUUGCGGGGACACAGGACUGUUACUUUGAAAAAAUUAGAGGGUUUAAAGCAAGCUAACGCUUGAAUACAUUAGCAUGGAAUGAUGAAAUAGGACGAUCGAUCCUAUUUUGUUGGUUUCUAGGAUUGACGUA